UACGUAGGUCCCGAGCGUUGUCUGGAUUUAUUGGGCGUAAAGCGAGCGCAGGUGGUUUAUUAAGUCUGGUGUAAAAGGCAGUGGCUCAACCAUUGUAUGCAUUGGGAACUGGUAGACUUGAGUGCAGGAGAGGAGAGUGGAAUUCCAUGUGUAGCGGUGAAAUGCGUAGAUAUAUGGAGGAACACCGGUGGCGAAAGCGGCUCUCUGGCCUGUAACUGACACUGAGGCUCGAAAGCGUGGGGAGCAAACAGG
RNAcentral lists this ribosomal RNA (252 nucleotides) under uncultured bacterium. RNAcentral's name for it is "partial 16S ribosomal RNA". It matches the Rfam family "Bacterial small subunit ribosomal RNA", at positions 524 to 776 of the family's 1533-position model. The record is from RNAcentral.